CCUACGGGAGGCAGCAGUAGGGAAUUUUCGUCAAUGGGCGCAAGCCUGAACGAGCGAUGCCGCGUGAGUGAAGAAGGCCUUCGGGUCGUAAAGCUCUGUUGCGGGGGAAAAAAGGCAGCAUCAGGAAAUGGGUGCUGACUGAUGGUGCCCCGCCAGAAAGUCACGGCUAACGCCGGGCCAGCAGCCGCGGUAAUACGUAGGUGGCGAGCGUUAUCCGGAAGGAUUGGGAGUAAAGGGUGCGCAGGCGGUCCUGCAAGUCUGGAGUGAAACGCAUGAGCUCAACUCAUGCAUGGCUUUGGAAACUGGAGGACUGGAGAGCAGGAGAGGGCGGUGGAACUCCAUGUGUAGCGGUAAAAUGCGUAGAUAUAUGGAAGAACACCAGUGGCGAAGGCGGCCGCCUGGCCUGUUGCUGACGCUGAGGCACGAAAGCGUGGGGAGCAAAUAGGAUUAGAUACCCCAGUAGUC
RNAcentral lists this ribosomal RNA (465 nucleotides) under uncultured bacterium. RNAcentral describes it as "partial 16S ribosomal RNA". It matches the Rfam family "Bacterial small subunit ribosomal RNA", at positions 338 to 795 of the family's 1533-position model. The record is from RNAcentral.